CGUUUAGCGGCGGACGGGUGAGUAACACGUGGGCAACCUGCCCUGCAGAUCGGGAUAACUCCGGGAAACCGGUGCUAAUACCGAAUAGUUUUUUGCCCCUCCUGGGGCAAAACGGAAAGACGGUUUCGGCUGUCACUGCAGGAUGGGCCCGCGGCGCAUUAGCUAGUUGGUGGGGUAACGGCCUACCAAGGCGACGAUGCGUAGCCGACCUGAGAGGGUGAUCGGCCACACUGGGACUGAGACACGGCCCAGACUCCUACGGGAGGCAGCAGUAGGGAAUCUUCCGCAAUGGACGAAAGUCUGACGGAGCAAUGCCGCGUGAGUGACGAAGGUUUUCGGAUCGUAAAACUCUGUUGUAAGGGAAGAACAAGUACCAAGUAACUACUGGUACCUUGACGGUACCUUACCAGAAAGCCACGGCUAACUACGUGCCAGCAGCCGCGGUAAUACGUAGGUGGCAAGCGUUGUCCGGAAUUAUUGGGCGUAAAGCGCGCGCAGGCGGUCCCUUAAGUCUGAUGUGAAAGCCCACGGCUCAACCGUGGA
RNAcentral lists this ribosomal RNA (543 nucleotides) under uncultured Planomicrobium sp. Its description in RNAcentral is "bacterial SSU rRNA". It matches the Rfam family "Bacterial small subunit ribosomal RNA", at positions 89 to 619 of the family's 1533-position model. The record is from RNAcentral. Lineage: Bacteria; Bacillati; Bacillota; Bacilli; Caryophanales; Caryophanaceae.